This 499-nucleotide ribosomal RNA is filed under the name uncultured bacterium. RNAcentral describes it as "bacterial SSU rRNA". It matches the Rfam family "Bacterial small subunit ribosomal RNA", at positions 29 to 517 of the family's 1533-position model. The record is from RNAcentral.
AGUGAACGCUGGCGGCAGGCCUAAUACAUGCAAGUCGAACGGCAGCACAGUGGAGCUUGCUCCAUGGGUGGCGAGUGGCGGACGGGUGAGGAAUACAUGGGAAUCUGCCCAGUCGUGGGGAUAACGUAUGGAAACGUACGCUAAUACCGCAUGCGCCCUUCGGGGGAAAGUCGGGGACCGCAAGGCCUGACGCGAUUGGAUGAGCCCAUGUUCGAUUAGCUAGUUGGCGGGUAACGGCCCACCAAGGCGACGAUCGAUAGCUGGUCUGAGAGGAUGAUCAGCCACACUGGAACUGAGACACGGUCCAGACUCCUACGGGAGGCAGCAGUAGGGAAUAUUGGACAAUGGGCGCAAGCCUGAUCCAGCCAUGCCGCGUGAGUGAAGAAGGCCCUCGGGUUGUAAAGGCUCUUUUGUUGGGGAAGAAAAGCAGUUGGUUAAUACCCGAUUGUUCUGACGGUACCCAAAGAAUAAGCACCGGCUAACUUCGUGCCAGCAGCCG